Molecule: long non-coding RNA, 8253 nt
Filed under: Nicotiana benthamiana
Lineage: Eukaryota; Viridiplantae; Streptophyta; Magnoliopsida; Solanales; Solanaceae
Description: long non-coding RNA (NBEN_LNC022259)
Source: RNAcentral
UCCCUAUCAUUGAAUCAAACAGGAAGAUUAGGCAAAUUAUUGACUACUAUACCUCUACUGAAAUUUAAAUGAGUCAAAGCCAACAUUCCAAAUAAUAGUCCAGCAUAGUCCGAAUGUUCAUACAUGUUACAGUACAAAAAUGAGAUGAAUAUCCUAAAUACUACUAAACUAGUAACAUUUGCACUAUAACAAACAAUACAAAUAUCUUCAUUAUCAAACAUGAUCACGCAUAUACACAGCUGUGCAUUUCCAGAUUUCCUGAGUAAGGAUGAGUACCUGGAAUUACAGCAAAGAGGAAACACACCUAUGAGCAAAGUAAGUGAGAAGCAACGAAUAGAAGCAGAUCAACCAAUUAAUACCCAGGAGUAGUAUCAGGAAAAAACUCAGGAAAGUUUUGAAAAAAAGCCAACAACAACACAAGUUUCGAUCCUAUAGCUUGAACAAAGCAAACCAACCUAAGAUCAAUGCCUAAAGUAGCUUAUGAAAACUAUAACACCCUAAAUGCCUAUGUCUCAAGUCAUCUUCACCCUAUAAUGAACAGAAUUCUAAUAAUUUUAGAAGAUGUUUUUCCAGAAAAGCUUAGGAUUUUCAGGGAAUUUGUUUUCAGAUGGUGUUCUCGACCUCUUCUCUUAAAAAAAAUAUCAAUCUAAAACAAUAAGAUACCCUUUUAUAGCCAAGUCCUCAAAGCAACAUUUUCUUCUUGUUUUCUUAUUAGUCCCUUCCCCAUUUUCCAGAUUUGCUUAAUUGAUCCCUUGUUUUUUAAUUUGUGCCUCAAGUUUUGAGAAAAAUUAAUAGAAAUUGCAUUUAGAACCUCCAACUAGAAGGUUCCAGAGAUUUGUUACAAGAUUCUUAUGCCCAAAUACUCCUAUUACCCAUGUAUUUCCUUCUUAAUUACUAGCCUAAAUGUUUUCUACCUUGGUGCCUAUUCAUUUAGUCAGGAAUUGACCAUGAUCAAUUACUCAAGGGCAUAAACCAUGGUCUCAUUAGCAAUAGGGGUCGAGUUUUAAGAAAGUUGGGCAUAACUAAAUAUUAAAUUGAAGACUACACUAUACUAUUAAAGGCAAACAGAAGAUGGUCAAAAUUGAUAAAUAAUAGGUCAAUGAAACACAUAUAUACAGGCGGAUUUAGACAUGUACCAAAAUAUGGGACUGAAUUAAUCAGAAGCAAAGAUAAAUCUAACCAGCACAAACUUCAGAAACAAACAUAAAGUUUAUCACAACUGAACAUUGAUCAAAUUGAAACGAAAAAUGGAAAGUUAAACCAGGGAAGAUGAACAAUUUGAGCUUAACAAAAUAAUUCAAGUUAGUCAAGGAACAUCUAUGACUUCAAUUGGUAAUGACCAUUCAGAAAAGUUUAUCAAAAACUUAAAACAAAAAGGCACAUGAUUCUGGAUGGAAACAAAACAACUAAUCGGAAUAUUUUCACAGAUGAGCGAAUAGAAAAUUCAUGUACACAAACGAAAACAAAAAAGAAUUAAAAGCAAUCAAAAGGAAAACAGAGAACUUAGCUUAAAACUGCAACCCUAAAAAUCUUGGACUUUUGCAUCUCAUGGUCUUCGACCAUUUCUGAAAAGGUCUUUGGCCUAUUGGGAAGGCGGAGCAAUCAUUUGAAAGGGGGGAGGGUAUCCGGUGUAAGGUCGGUUAGUUUGGGAUGGGUUUGUAUUUGAGACCAUUUUUCGAUUUGAUUUUUGGCCAGUUUCUAGUUGUAUUCGAAGGCUGCUGGUUGUGGAUUUGUGCAUGGGAAGGUGAGGAGGUCACCUGGUAUCAGUUUCAAGAGAUUCUGGGGAGGUUGGAGAUUUGGUCAGCACUUUGAACUAAUAUUCGAAGAAAUGGUUAUGGGUUUGGAGGAAAUUGACCGUGGAUUCGUUAUGGGGAUGGGGUAAGGGACAUAUGGUGUUAUUUUGGAAAGGUUCCGUCGGUAGCACCGCCGUGGGCGGCGGAAGCGGUGCUCAAAAAUUUUAAUAUUCGAGCCAAUUUGCUCACAUUUGAGGCUUGGUUCCUAGGGCAUUGGAAUGAGUAGGGCACGGUGAAUCAGGGGUGUAUUUUUGGGAAGCAACGGAGCUCUGCCAUCGGCGGAGACGAUUUCCGGUCGGCGGCUAUAGGGCGGUGUAUCGACGGAGAUGGAAGGUACGAGGAAGAGGCUGUUUGUCUCGAGAGUUUGGUCUGAUUCAGACCUUUUUAUGUAAUUAUCUCAUUGAACCCAGGCCGUUGGAUUAAUAUUGAUGAACGACUGAGAUUGAUGGCCCUAAAACGACGUCGUUUUGGAGCGUCUCUCAUAGCAGCUUGGGUCAGAGAUGGGGUUGGGCCGGGUUUUGGGUACUUUUGGACGGGUAGGGUAUUUGGGCCACUCAGAUUUGGCCCAAUUGUGGCCAGCUUCAUCUAAAGGCUUUUACUUCCUUCUUCUUUUUUUCCUUUUCAUUUUAAAAUCUUCCUAAUUUAUUUUUAAAAUCUUAUUAAACUAAAUACUAAAUUCAACUAGAUUAGACUAAUAAUCACCUAAACUAAUCAAAUAUGAAAAUUAACAAUUUUGAAGCUACAAAUUAAAUAAUACCAAAAUAAACUACUUUUUUGUGAUUUUUAUAUUUCACAAAAUAGAACCCUAAUUACCAAUUAAUUCUAACAAAAAUAUGUGAAAUCAAAUCCUAAAAUGCGUAUGUACAAUUUUAUUUAUUUUUGUUGUAUUUUUUAUGAUUUGUCAUGCAUGCACCAAUGAAAAUAUACACUAAUAUGCACAAUUAAAUCCUAAAAUUGAAUAAUAAAAGGGAGAAAUUCUAAGUCUGAGAAUUCUGUAGGAGUAAUUUUAAUGAGGCAAAAAUCACGUGCUCACAGGUAUACAUGUGUUAGCCUAAAGGAUUUUGUGAUAAGGACAAAAGUCAUCUUGUUUGCAAGUUAAAUAAAUCCAUUUAUGGGCUAAAGCAGGCUUCCCGCCAAUUGUAUAUUAAAAUUUAUAAUGUUGUUUCUUCAUUUGGAUUUACGGAGAACAUCAUUGAUCAGUGUAUCUACCUUAAGAUAAGUGGGGGCAGAUAUAUUUUUCUAUUCCUAUAUGUGGAUGAUAUUUUGCUUGCAAGUAGUGAUUUGGGAUUGUUGCACGAGACUAAACAGUUCCUUAUCUAGAAUUUUGAAAUGGAGGAUAUGGGUGAAGUUUCUUAUGUCAUUAGCAUAGAGAUUCACAUAGACAGAUCACAAAGAUUACUUGGACUGUCUCAAAAGGCCUACAUUGAAAGAAUCCUGGAAAGAUUCGGGAUGAAGAACUGUUCACCUAUAGCAGCACCCAUAAUUUAAGGUGACAAAUUCUCAUUAAAUCAAUGUCCACAAAAUGCAUUGGAAAAGGAGCAAAUGAAAGACAUUCCCUAUGCUUCGCUUAUUGGGAGCCUUAUGUAUGCACAGGUCUGUACUAGACCUGAUAUUGCUUUUACGGUAGGAGUGCUUGACAAAUAUCAAAGUAACCCUGGUCUUGACCAUUUUCACUUGUUGGGAGCCUUAUAUAUGCACUGGUCUGUACUAGACAUGAUAUUGCUUUUGCGGUAGGUAUGAUUGGCAGAUAUCAAAGUAACCCUGGUCUUGACCAUUGAAAAGCUGGUAAAAGGGUCUUGAGAACCAAGGAUUUUAAGCUCAUAUACAAAUGCUCUGACUCAUUGGAGGUGAUUGGAUAUUCAGACUCUGAUUUGGGUGGAUGCAAAGACACUGGCAAAUCUACUUCAUGAUACAUUUUCCUUCUUGCUAGAGGUGUUGUGUCUUGGAGAAGUGUCAAGCAGAUCAUUGUUGCAACAUCCACAAUGGAAGCUGAAUUUAUUGCAUGCUAUGAAGCUACAUCACAUGUGUUAUGGUUGAAAAACUUUAUUUUCGGCCUUAGGAUUGUUGAUUCCAUUUCAAGGCCAUUGAGAACUUUUGUGACAAUUCAGCUGCAGUUUUCUUUUCUAAGAAUAAUAAAAGUGGCAGCCGAAGAAAGCACAUUGACAUAAAGUACUUGAUGGUUAAAGACUAUUUGAAGAAGCAAGAUAUGAAUUUUGAGCAUAUUAGUACUGCUUUGAUGAUUACUGAUCCUAUGACUAAAGGUCUGCCGUCUAAUAUUUUCAAGGAUCAUGUAAUCCAUAUGGGGCUUAGUAUCUCAAUUUAGUCUUGCUUUGCUCUCUAACCGUUUGUCUAGAUAUUAUGUUUAUUUUGAUAUACAUGACAGUGCACACUUUUGGUUUCUCAUAUAUUAUUUGUAAUCAUUGGAUAAAUAAAGUUGGACUCUAAAUGACUUAUAUUAAGUUCAUUCAUAAAGUUGUUAGAAACUUUAUUAGAAUAUAUCGUGCAUUGUAAUAUAUGGAAGGAAGUGUUUGUUUGAAAGCAUGACCGCCAUGAUUUGUGUAAUAAAAUAUUCUAGUUAAAAUGAUUGUCGCAUAACUUUUAGUUGAGUGAUAAAGUUUAUGGCCAUAUUAUAUGUUUAUCUCUCAUAAAGGAUUAUCUGAUUUUAAUUUUUGGGCCAAGUGGGAGAAUGUUAGAAAUUACCGUCUCUUCUAGAGACUUCUACUGUGGCCCACAUAUAAAGUAAUAAGUUAUUUACCUUGUCUCCCAAAUGAGAGAAUGUAAGAAAUUCCCGUAUCUUUCUAGAAAUUUCUAGUGUAGCCCACAUAUAAGGUAAUAAAUUAUUUACCUUGUCUACUAAAGGAAAUAAUAUAUUAGAUAAUACUCUGUAGUUAUGCAUAUAUGGUAGUUUCUUUGAUGGAAAAAAAUGACCAUAUAUUAGUAGUCCUAGGGUAAUUACAAUUUAUGGAGAAGUCCCUAGAGCUAAAGUAUUUGCCUAAGAGUCACUAACCUACAUAUAAAUAUGCAUGUGACUCCAUCAGUCUGGCAUCCUACGAUAGGCACAAGCUAGAAGGCUCCUGGGUCUUUUCUGUCAAAAUUUUACAGCCAAUUUUCGACAACACUUGAACAACAAUGGCUGAAGGUACGUUCCAUGUUUAAUUUCCGCUGCGCUGGCUCUGUACAUUCGAAUUUCAACAAUCCAAACAUAAGAAAGUACUAGACUAACAAUAAUACUAAUGGUAUGGACAAGAAAAAUACACGACUACCCACUAACUUUUUACCCUAAUGCUCGACCUUCACAUCCUCCUAUUAAAGGUCAUGUCCUUGGUAAGUUGAAGAAGCACCAUGUCCUGCCUAAUUAAUCACAUCUCCUCAAUGCUUCUUUGGCCUAUCUCUACCUCUUCUCGGACCCACCAUGUCCAACAUUCCACAUCUCCUUAGUGGAGAAUUAGUGUCUCUCCUCUUCACUUGCCGAACUAUCUAAGCGUCGCUUUCGCAUCUUGUCCUCCACGGGAGCCACACCCAUCUUAUCCUAAAUAUCUUCAUUCCUAAUCUUAUUCAUCCUGGUAUGCGUACACAUCUAUCUCAAUAUCCUAAAUAUCUUCAUUCCUAAUCUUUCUAGACAUGAUUAUGCAAUGCAUGGUGGCAUGCAAUAGAGAUACUGGUAGUGAUUGACUAUGGAGGCUUGCCGUGCACAUAGUCUGUGGUGGAGGUGUAGUGGUUGGUGGAUGAUGCUGCAGUGCGAUGGAUGAGUUGCCUUCAGUGGCGGGCGCACAUGGUGGCAAGCAGGUUUAACUGAACCUGUUUUAUCAAAAAUAAUAUUGUAUAUUAUGUAUAAAGGCAAAAUGCCUUAAAUCACCCCUAAACUUGGCUCAGAUUAUUAGUAUCCUCCCUGAACUAUGAUCGGUUUUAAUUACCCCCUCAACUUGAUCUUUUGAGAGAUAUUACCCCCCUAAACUGAUGUGACAAAAAGGGUGGAUGCACUUGUCUGCCAUGUGGAUUUUUCUGUAUAUGUGGCACUUUUUUGAAAAAUAAUAUAUAUUUUUACCGUUUUAAGAAUAUUAAUUUUUUAGAUAAAUCUUUUUCGAAUAUAAUUUAUAAUAAAACUUGGAUAGAACUAUAUUAUUUAGGCUAAAUAUUUUUAUUAUAAAUUGUAGCCGAAAAUUUUAUCUAAAAAAGUAAUAUUCUUAAAACGGUAAAAAUAUAUUUUAUUUUUCAAAAAAAAUGCCAUAUACUGAAUAAUCUACGUGGCAGGUGAGUGCACACAUACUUUUACCGCAUCGGCAUCUGGGGGUGAUGUCUCUUAAAAGGCCUAGUUGAGGGGGUAAUUAAGACCGGACAUAGUUCGAGGAGCAUACUAAUAAUCUAAGCCAAGUUUAUGAGUGAUUUAAGGUAUUUUCCUAUGUAUAAAUUACGAUUAAAACUGUGCAAAUUUUGUAUAAAUACUUUAUUUGAACCCAUGCACUUGAAAAAUACUAUUUUACGACUAACAUUAUAUACUCUAAAAUUAAAUCCGCUUGCACAAAAUUUUGAGUACGUGACUGAUUGCCUUGCCUUCAUUCUUAAUCAGGAUUUGAUCUUUGAGAAGGGAGAAAUCUCUUGCAUUACACAACGCGAAUGUGGAUUAGUCAGAUAGCGGAUUGUGAAUACCAAAUGAUUAUACAAAAAAAUAAGGCCACCUUAAAAUGUCUAGUCAACCUUAAAGAUGCUCAAAGUCAACUUUAAAUAAUGUUUUAAGCAUCUCAAUAAUUUUCUGGCAGCCGAGAAUCAAAAGUCUUUAUGCCACAGCUAUAUAUAUUCAUCACCAGGGACUAUCAACUCUAUAAAGAAGAAAACUAAUGAUUUCAACCCUACUAUUAUUCCAAGUUUAUACCUUUUUACUAUAAGACAAGAGGGGUUGCUCUAAGCAACCCACUCCCAACCGAGAGGUUGUGAGUUGGAGUCUCCCCAAGAGUAAGGUGGGAAGUUCUUGGAGGGAAGGAUGUUGGGGGUCUAUUUGGAAACAGCCUCUCUACCCAAGGGUAGAAAUGAAAUAAAGAUUUUCUACAGGAAACAAAAGUCUGAAGAAUCCAAUAUACAGUAUACAAUUGCAAUCACAUUUGUCAAAAGUGACACAAAUUAUACAAACUUCACCUUAAUAGGAACAAACUCUGCUGUUUCUACUAUGUGAGAUUAUACUGGGUUGUUGUUGUAUACCUUUUUACUAUAAAUUUCUUGAUUUUUUUUCCACUUUUUCUAAAUAUAGGGAUAACUAAAAAGUGACUUCACUUUACUAAUGGGGAUUUUAUUUUGUAAAUCUGCAAAGCUUGCUCAUGCUUCUUCAAGCCAGUUCUUUGGUAGAAUCCACUAUCUUCUUCCAAUUUAUCUCUGCUUCUUUUGAAUAAAAUUUAUAAAAAAGUUGAACUGCUAUGUGAUUUCUUAAACACCCUAUUUAUAUUUGUAAUUCAGGGAUUCUUGAGAUAUAAUGCUACAUUCUUCUCUAUUUAUUUAUGAAUUUUCAGGUUAACCAAAAAGUAUCUCCGCAAAACUGUUUGAUCCGGCGAAUAGAAACCUAUGAGUCUUUUACUCUUGUCAAAGAUUUAUAUGCCACUAGAAAAUGUGUAAAGUUAUAGUGGGGGAGAAACUAUUUUUCUUUUCAUUAUAUAGAGCGAGACUAUUGAUCGAACCCCCACCCGAGAGGUUGUGAGUUCGAGUCUCCCCAAGAGCAAGGUGGGAAGUUCUUGGAGGGAAGNNNNNNNNNNNNNNNNNNNNNNNNNNNNNNNNNNNNNNNNGUCUCCCCAAGAGCAUGGUGGGAAGUUCUUGGAGGGAAGGAUGCCGGGGGUCUAUUUGGAAACAGCCUCUCUACCCAAGGGUAGAGGUAAGGUAUGCGUACAUACUACCCUCCCCAGACCCCAGUACGGGGGAUUAUACUGAGUGGUUGUUGUUGUUGUUAUAUAGAGCGAUACGAGCAUAAAUGGAGAGACAGGGAUCAGUGAGAAUUCAUAUAGCAGACCUUGAUAUGAUUAGGCUGUAGAAUAUGAAAACACAAUCAUGUAUAAGGUUCAUAAUUUGAUUAAAGCAUGUAUGUUAUUGUCAUGGCGCAUUUCUUCCUUCUAUUGAAUGCAAUAUAGUUGUUCAAUUCUAAUGGGCAUCCUAAUGUACUAAACUCUCGCUAUUGCACGGGGUUUGGGGAAGAACCAGACCACAAGGGUGUAUCGUAGGAAGCCUUACCCUGAAAUUCUAUGAGAGGCUGUUUUCACUGCUCGAACCCGUGACCUCCUAAUCACAUGGCAACAACUUUUCCGGUUACGCCGAGGCUCCCCUUAUUCUAUAUGUUAAAUUCUAUUUCCAAGCUGAAUACAUCUUUGCAAUUCUUAUUUUCAGAUCCUAAAACUGGCCCUGGCAAAUGAGAAAAUGGAACCUGUCCAUUCUCAUAAACAGUCAUUUAACAAAAGUGAUUCAUGUGUUCACAGCAACCUCAAGU